This 483-nucleotide ribosomal RNA is filed under the name uncultured bacterium. RNAcentral describes it as "partial 16S ribosomal RNA". It matches the Rfam family "Bacterial small subunit ribosomal RNA", at positions 28 to 507 of the family's 1533-position model. The record is from RNAcentral.
AUUGAACGCUGGCGGCAUGCUUUACACAUGCAAGUCGAACGGCAGCGCGGGCUUCGGCCUGGCGGCGAGUGGCGAACGGGUGAGUAAUGCAUCGGAACGUGCCCAGUAGUGGGGGAUAGCCCGGCGAAAGCCGGAUUAAUACCGCAUACGACCUGAGGUGAAAGCGGGGGACCGAAAGGCCUCGCGCUAUUUGAGCGGCCGAUGUCGGAUUAGCUCGUUGGUGGGGUAAAGGCCUACCAAGGCGACGAUCCGUAGCUGGUCUGAGAGGACGACCAGCCACACUGGGACUGAGACACGGCCCAGACUCCUACGGGAGGCAGCAGUGGGGAAUUUUGGACAAUGGGGGCAAGCCUGAUCCAGCCAUGCCGCGUGCGGGAAGAAGGCCUUCGGGUUGUAAAGCGCUUUUGUUCGGGAAGAAAUCCUCUGGGUUAAUACCCCGGGGGGAUGACGGUACCGGAAGAAUAAGCACCGGCUAACUACGUG